AGGGGGGAGGGGGCGGGGGCGCCUCUCCAGCCAUGUGCGGAGACUGGCGCGGUGACGUCAGAGCGGAGGGGCGGGAUUAGACGCUUCUCGCGGCGCGUUCACAUCACGCGGGAAAUUACAGUUUCUCCACCCGGUUGCUCUUCAACAGCAGUGGAAAUCGGCUAAGCGAAUAAGUGGGAGGGAUGAAAACAAGCAGAGCAGAGACGCGACCUGGUGACACGAAGCAACGUCUGUUCUCUACGCGACAACAGAAGAUGGACGGGAUGCAAAUAAGCCUGAUGAAAUGAAGAAGGAUUAAUCCAGCAGCUUUAAGCUGCGGCUGAACCUGAAUGUGCAGCAAGACUGUUACGUAACACGGAGCCCGAGUCCUUGUGAUUGCUCCUCCGUAAUCCCCCCCGGAACAGUCCAGAGGCCUUUCUCCGGCUGCCAUUAGCGGUUGUUUGCAGGAAUUCUCUGGAUAAUAUCCUGGUGACCUUUGCUGCGAGACACGCACACGGUGCUUUUCAAAAUAAAACUCACAAUAAACAAUGAA
Molecule: non-coding RNA, 532 nt
Organism: Gasterosteus aculeatus aculeatus (three-spined stickleback)
Lineage: Eukaryota; Metazoa; Chordata; Actinopteri; Perciformes; Gasterosteidae
Source: RefSeq, a predicted model, not a curated record